GCGGCUGUGGUCCAGGGGUCAGGACAUGAGCUUCCCAAGCUCGUAGCCCGGGUUCGAUUCCCGGCAGCCGCACC
This 74-nucleotide transfer RNA is filed under the name Methanosaeta sp. PtaB.Bin087. RNAcentral's name for it is "tRNA-Gly". It matches the Rfam family "tRNA". From Rfam's summary of the family: Transfer RNA (tRNA) molecules are approximately 80 nucleotides in length. Their secondary structure includes four short double-helical elements and three loops (D, anti-codon, and T loops). Lineage: Archaea; Methanobacteriati; Methanobacteriota; Methanomicrobia; Methanotrichales; Methanotrichaceae. The record is from RNAcentral. RNAcentral also lists the same sequence under 1 other name.